RNAcentral lists this unclassified non-coding RNA (329 nucleotides) under soil metagenome. RNAcentral describes it as "partial contains 5.8S ribosomal RNA, internal transcribed spacer 2, and large subunit ribosomal RNA". The stretch from base 1 to 120 matches the Rfam family "5.8S ribosomal RNA", at positions 35 to 154 of the family's 154-position model. The record is from RNAcentral.
GAUGAAGAACGUAGCGAAAUGCGAUAAGUAAUGUGAAUUGCAGAAUUCAGUGAAUCAUCGAAUCUUUGAACGCACAUUGCGCCCCCUGGUAUUCCGGGGGGCAUGCCUGUCCGAGCGUCAUUACAACCCUCAAGCUCAGCUUGGUGGUGGGCCCCGCCGCCCCGGCGGGCCCUAAAGUCAGUGGCGGUGCCGUCCGGCUCCGAGCGUAGUAAUUCUUCUCGCUCUGGAGGUCCGGUCGUGUGCUCGCCAGCAACCCCCAAUUUUUUUCAGGUUGACCUCGGAUCAGGUAGGGAUACCCGCUGAACUUAAGCAUAUCAAUAAGCGGAGGA